UUGAAUCACCGAUCAGGAUUUCAAGUUUAUCUGGAUCUUCAAUUUUGCCAGGGUUUUUUGCUGGUUUGCAAGUUUAUCCUCGAUUUAAAAUUUAGACCUAUCAAAAUCUGGCUUACUAAACAAGUUCUGGCAGACUGGCUUAACCAUUGUUUUUCCGGAUUUGAUAGAAAAAAAACUAUAAUAUUGUUAUAAAUCAUGUGAUGUGAUGGAUGUCCAUAACCGGCCCGAACCAUUAGAGGCCCAAUCCGCAGGAGAGAGAGGCGGCUACCUUGUGUUUUCUUUUUUUCUUUUUCGGCCCGACCCAUUAGAGGCCCAAUCCGCAGGAGAGAGAGGCGGCUACCUUGUGUUUUCUUUUUUUCUUUUUCCUUUGUGUUUAUGAUUUGUAAUCUUUCUUUUUAUCUAUCUUGUAAUUCCCUAUAUAAAGGGCACACUUUAUAAUUAAUGAAAUAAGAACUUACUGAUUCCAAUCCUAAGUUUUACAACACGUUAUCAUCACGAUAGCUUCUAAAAACCUUAAAGCUAAAAACCAGAAAUCGAAAACCCUAAUCCUAUCCGACGAACCCUAACCCGAUCGCGUCUCUUGUUCCUGCAAGCGUUCCCGUCUCAGCUUCAUCCGAUCAGCUCCAGCCCCAAGGUGUUCCUGAUCAUAGACGAACUCAGCCUCAGCUCUUGACCAGGACAGUUCGCGA
RNAcentral lists this long non-coding RNA (689 nucleotides) under Brassica napus (rape). RNAcentral's name for it is "long non-coding RNA (BNAP_LNC020152)". Lineage: Eukaryota; Viridiplantae; Streptophyta; Magnoliopsida; Brassicales; Brassicaceae. The record is from RNAcentral.